UGUAAUUGUGUGGGUGUGGUUACUCAUUGUGUUGAUUAGUGUCACCAGCUGUCGUUGAUUUCACCUCCCUUUAUAUGUCAGUAAAUUCCCUCUCAUGUUGUCAGAUCGUUGUGGUUGUUCCCUGGUGUGCGGCCUGUUCUUGUGUCUCGUCAAGCCCAGUUCUCCGUUGGAUUUCGUCAGUUCUUUGUGUUGUUUGGAUUUCGUCAGUUCCUUGUGUCGUCUGGAUGUUCAACGGUUCCUGGGUUUCUCUUCACGCUCUUCACCGCACCACCACCGGAUCGCCAUCUUGUCCCUGCUUCACCACCACCAACUGAUUGUUUGUCCCCGGCCUGUGUCUUUACUCUGACCCUCAUUAUUAUUAAACUUGUUAACUUGCAUCUUGCAUCCCCUCAUUAUUCAUCACAGAAUGAUCUGACCAAACAAUGGAUGCAGCAAGCACCUCUCAACUCCAGGAUUUCAUCGCUCACAGUAUCUCACGUAUGGACCAACAGGAAGAAAACAUCUCAGGCACAGGUCGAGCGGUACAAACACUCGUGAAGCAGGUGUCCGAGCUCACCCAACAGGUACAGCUUCUACGGACUCCCACUGCGUUCCCCACGCUGCCCGAUCCCCCAGCGCCGGCAGCAGCGGAAGGACCAGAGCCACGCCUACCCACACCAGAAGGAUAUUCCGGUGAGCCUGAAUUUUGUAGAGGAUUCCUCACGAGAUGUUCCAAGCAUUUUGCUUUACAACCACGUACUUUUCAGAGCGAACAGACAAGGGUAGCAUUUGUACUCACCCUGCUGUCAGGAAGAGCAACGCUUUGGGGAACGGCGGUGUGGGAGAACGGACACAACUGCUGCACCUCGUUCCUGAGAGUGGACACGCGUCUUAAUCGCGUAACCCGGCUGACGCGUCCCAGCCAUCCACAGCCCAGCUCAGAGAACCACCAGGCCGAUGGUGUGAGCGCGGUCAGCCCCGCAUUCGAUCAUGAGCCCAUGCAGGUGGGGAGAGCUCGGCUUUCCCGGGAGGAGAGAGAGAGGCGGAGAUCCCAGGGACUUUGCCUAUACUGCGGCCAGGCAGGCCACUUCAUCCACUCCUGUCCGGUAAAAGAGCAGGCCCGGUAAUCCCCAUCACUCCCCUCUCGCACCAGAUCACCGUCAACGCACUCAAUGGACAAGAACUUCCCCGGAUCACUCAUUCCACUGAAAGUAUCACCCCCAUCACUUCUGGCAAUCACACUGAAACCCUCUCACUUCUCCUCAUGGACUCACCACUUGCACCAGUGGUUUUGGGACACCCGUGGCUCUUUAAACACAACCCCCGGGUCGACUGGUGCACUAACACAAUUUCCACAUGGAGUAACCACUGUCAUGAAUCUUGUUUAGUGUCUGCCUGUCCCUCUGUGUCUGGUUCUGUUUCAGAGUAAGGCAGCAGAUUUGUCUAACGUGCCCGCGGAGUACCUCGACCUGAAGGAAGUGUUCAGUAAGUCCCGUGCUGCUUCUCUCCCUCCGCACCGUUCCUAUGACUGUGCGAUAGAUCUACUGCCAGGUAAAACUCCGCCUAAGGGCAAACUUUACUCUCUUUCUGUUCCUGAAAAUUAUUAGUCCGGUGGCAGUCCGACUCAAACUUCCUCCGGCGUACAGGAGAAUUCACCCCACCUUCCAUGUGUCUAAAAUCAAGCCCGUGUUUUAUUCUCCCAUUAAUCCGCAUGCCCCGGUCCCCCCGCCGCGACUUGUAGAUGGGGAACCCACGUAUUUGGUAAACCGCAUUCUGGACUCGAGACGGAGGGGACGCGGAUUUCAGUACUUGGUGGACUGGGAGGGUUACGGUCCGGAGGAGAGAAGUUGGGUUCCUGCUAGGGACAUUCUGGAUCACUCCCUUAUCGAUGAUUACAAUCGACAGAUCGUUGUGGUUGUUCCCUGGUGUGCGUCCUGUUCUUGUCUCGUCAAGCCCAGUUCUCGUUGGAUUUCGUCAGUUCUUCGUGUCGUUUGGAUUUCGUCAGUUCCUCGUGUCGUCUGGAUGUUCAGCUGUUCCUGGGUUUCUCUUCACGCUCUUCACUGCACCACCCCCGGAUCGCCAUCUCGUCCCUGCUUCACCACCACCACCUGAUUGUUUGUCCCCGGCCUGUGUCUUUACUCUGACCCUCAUUAUUAUUAAACUUGUUAACUUGC
Long non-coding RNA from Cyprinus carpio carpio, 2153 nucleotides. The record is from Ensembl. NCBI's taxonomy places the organism in Eukaryota, Metazoa, Chordata, Actinopteri, Cypriniformes, Cyprinidae.